UGUGADUUGCAGAAUUCAGUGAAUCAUCGAAUCUUUGAACGCACCUUGCGCUCCUUGGUAUUCCGAGGAGCAUGCCUGUUUGAGUGUCUUGA
RNAcentral lists this ribosomal RNA (92 nucleotides) under Trechispora araneosa. Its description in RNAcentral is "partial 5.8S ribosomal RNA". It matches the Rfam family "5.8S ribosomal RNA", at positions 66 to 154 of the family's 154-position model. From Rfam's summary of the family: 5.8S ribosomal RNA (5.8S rRNA) is a component of the large subunit of the eukaryotic ribosome. The record is from RNAcentral. Lineage: Eukaryota; Fungi; Basidiomycota; Agaricomycetes; Trechisporales; Hydnodontaceae.